AACGAACGCUGGCGGCGUGGCUAAGGCAUGCAAGUCGAACGGGACUCUCUUGGUAGUAAUACUGUGAGAGUUUAGUGGCGGACGGGUGAGUAAUGCAUGGGUAACGUACCUUAGGCUCAGGGAUAGCGGCGCCCUUCGGGGCUUUAGCGAAAGUGCCGGUAAUACCUGAUAAUAUCCAGAGGCCUCAUGGUUUUUGGAUCAAAGAUGGGGACCCUUCGGGGCCUGUCGGCCAAAGAUCGGUCCAUGUCCUAUCAGCUUGUUGGUGGGGUAAUGGCCUACCAAGGCUCCGACGGGUAGCCGGCGUGAGAGCGCGACCGGCCACAUCGGGACUGAGACACUGCCCGGACACCUACGGGUGGCUGCAGCAACGAAUAUUCCGCAAUGGGCGAAAGCCUGACGGAGCGACGCCGCGUGGGGGAUGAAGUCCUUCGGGAUGUAAACUCCAAUAGUAUGCCAGGAAGCAACCCGACCUAAUACGUCGGUGCGUUGACCAACAUACGAAAGGGGCGGCUAACUCCGUGCCAGCAGCCGCGGUAAGACGGAGGCCCCAAGCGUUGUUCGGAAUCACUGGGCUUAAAGUGCGUGUAGGCGGAACGGUAAGUACCUUGUGAAAUCCCCGGCUUCAACCCGGGAACUGCUCGGUAUACUGCCAUUCUUGAGGCAGGUAGGGGUCACUGGAACCUUAAGUGGAGCGGUGAAAUGCGUAGAUAUCUAAGGGAACGCCUGUGGCGAAAGCGGGUGACUGGGCNUGACNUGACGCUGAGACGCGAAAGCGUANGGAGCAAACGGGAUUAGAUACCCCGGUAGUCUACGCCGUAAACGAUGCGCACUAGGUUCGAGAACUUCUGACGGUUUUCGUGCCGAAACAAAAGCGAUAAGUGCGCCGCCUGGGGAGUACGGCCGCAAGGCUAAAACUCAAAGGAAUUGACGGGGGCUCACACAAGCGGUGGAGCAUGUGGAUCAAUUCGAAGCAACGCGAAGAACCCUACCUGGGUUUGACAUGCACGGAUGCUCUUGGUGAAAAUCGAGUAGGCUGCCUUCGGGUGAAACGUGCACAGGUGCUGCAUGGCUGUCGUCAGCUCGUGCUGUGAAGUGUCGGGUUAAGUCCCUUAACGAGCGCAACCCUCGCCCUUAGUUGCCAUCAUUAAGUUGGGCACUCUAGGGGGACUGCCGGUGA
RNAcentral lists this ribosomal RNA (1177 nucleotides) under uncultured bacterium. RNAcentral's name for it is "bacterial SSU rRNA". It matches the Rfam family "Bacterial small subunit ribosomal RNA", at positions 28 to 1158 of the family's 1533-position model. The record is from RNAcentral.